Cavia porcellus (domestic guinea pig) is the source of this 2356-nucleotide long non-coding RNA. RefSeq lists it as uncharacterized. Lineage: Eukaryota; Metazoa; Chordata; Mammalia; Rodentia; Caviidae. The record is from RefSeq and is a predicted model, not a curated record. The transcript has 2 exons.
CUGUUUUAUCAUGACUGAUCUUAGUUAAAUCUAGUGUGUUUGACUGCUGUUUGGUAUCGACAGAUUUUAUUCAAAACUGAUAUGAUUGAUAGUAUGAAGUCUGAGAGUAUAAGCAACUACAUUGAAGAUGACAAAGGUUCUCUGGGCCUUUUCCCUGGGGCUGUCAUGUCUAAUAUUUCAGAAAGUGGCAAAGCUGCUUUGUUUUUAUCACAGGACUGCUAAGGGAAAAUGCCAGUUCCUGCCCUUACUGAGACAUGUUUCCUUUUUGCCACUUUUUAGAGAGCUCCAACUGGCUAUCUCCAUCACCACUCGUAGUUAUUACUCCAAUAUUUGUCGUGAUACUGUGUUAUGGAAACAAAUGUGCACCCUGGAAAUGUCCCAUGUCUAACAGCACAGCAAUAAUGGAUCCCAUCCUGGGUUCAGGAAAUGCUAAUGGUGAGUGCAGGCCUGCAGCUGGAUGGGGCUGUGAAUCUGUGAGAGGACAUAGGGCACAGGAAAGGCACAGGGGAUUAUCCCCUCCGGGAACAGGCCUGCCUGUGGCCUGUAAGUGAGGUCAGGGUGGCAGGAGCCAUCCUAGGGAGAUGCCUCAGGGUUGCAUAUCUAAGUAUUAGGCACUUAAUUGUCCUCAGGGCCCGAUGGCAGCCAAAGAUCCUGAGCUAGAAGGAGACUUAGCUCUUCAAAGCUUUGUUUGGGUAAACUGAGACACCAAAAAGCUGAGGAUAUGUACAUGGUGAGCUGGGUUUUAAUCCAUAUAGGAAGCUGGAUAUAUAUCACCUUAUUUGUAUAAGAAUACUCAUCUGGUCUGUCUCACUGAAGGAAUAUUUAUACUUUCCGUUGUGGCCUCCUUUUAUAUACUGGCUCUAGAUACUGUGUGGGGAGGGAGAGUUCACCAGUCACUGGGUCAAGAUCCCAGCCACCUGGAAUGGUAGAAAUCCAUCACAUUAUGCAUAGAGUUCUACAGCCACACAAAAUAAUCUUGUAUGACAUUGCUAUGCUAUUUAAAUUAAUGAUGGCACACUCAGGUUUUCAUUUAUCACAUGAACCCCCACCUGGCAUCUCAGCGUGUGUCUCCAUUGAUGUCAGUAUCUUCUGUGCCCUUUGUGGGAUCAGCUUGGUGUACUUUUGCAUGAUUUUCUAGAAGUGAUAUCAGCAAUCUUACUCUUCUUUGAUGGUAAUUUGCAUGUUUUCCUCUGCUGCCACAUGAGAAAGGUAACAGGUCCUCCGGGAGAAGUCACACCAGACUUCUCUUUAGGCAUUCUCUCUUUUUUAAAAUUUUGUCAUUUAUUGGUGCAUAUAAGGGAUUCAGAAUAUGAGUUUGUCUUUGGUGUACUGGGUUUGCAUAUACCAUACUCUGAUCAUUUUCAUCCCCCUCAACUCCCUCUCCUUUCCUUCACCUGCUCCCUCUGCGGCUUUCCUUAACACUAAUCGUGCACUUCCCAGUUUUCUGUCAAGACCUUUUCUAAAAUCCUCGCCUCUGUUCUAGCACUGGGUGCACAAACUCCUGGUGGAUAGUGUGUGUAUGGGGUGUGCGCUGGUUUCUCUCUUUCAGUCUCUAUGCUCUUUAUUUUCCUUUCUGGUUUUGUCCUGGAUAAAACUUGUAACAGUGCUUUGGGGCUCUGCCUGCUGUUAGUGUCUGUGCAUGGUGGUGGUUUUCCUUGUGUCUCUUACCCACGAGUUCCCAUCAGUCAGGCUGAGGCUUCUUGAGGGGGAAUUAAGAUCACAGGUAAAACUGGCUCAGCAGUGUGUGACUGCUGUGGUCUGCGACCCCAGCUGUGGUGGCUUAAAGAGCACAAAUGUAUUCUCUUCCCGGUGGAGCUCUCAGAGGCUGAGAGUUCUGUCAUUGAGGUAGGCGAUGAGCUCAGCAGUGCCCCAGCAAGCACUUCUCACAAUCUCCUGGUGAAGAGGGAAGCUGAUUGUUACCUCAGAGUUUUGAGGGUUCCAGCCCAGGUGAUCCAUCUCCAUACGUGGUGACGCCAGACACCAUGCUAGAAGCAUGUGGCACAGGCUGCCCAGGAAGCAGAAGAGAAGAUGAGAGGACUAAGUCCCAGGAUCCCCUUCUAGAAUGCACACCUAGGGACUGAAGGCCUCUCAGCAGGCGCCACCUCUCAGAGCUUCCAGUAUCUCCUGGAGUGCCAGGCCAAGAAUCAAGAGUUUAACUCAAGCACCAUGGAUACCAACCAUAACAUCUGCCCUCAUGGGUACCCUGGAUAAGACAUAAAGGGCAAUGUAGGGUGGGAGUCCUGUCUUGUGGCUUGUCCCCUCCUUGCUGCCUUAGCCUGCCCUGCUUUGUCAUGGAGUUUGCUGCCACACCCACUGAGACAUCCAGGGUCAGGCUCUGAACUAGCGUUGCAGAAAA